CCUACGGGAGGCAGCAGUGGGGAAUAUUGGGCAAUGGGCGCAAGCCUGACCCAGCAACGCCGCGUGAAGGAAGAAGGCUUUCGGGUUGUAAACUUCUUUUGUCAGGGACGAAGCAAGUGACGGUACCUGACGAAUAAGCCACGGCUAAACACGGGACAGCAGCCGCGGUAAUACGUAGGUGGCAAGCGUUAUCCGGAUUUACUGGGUGUAAAGGACGUGUAGGCGGGACUGCAAGUCAGAUGUGACAACCACGGGCUCAACCUGUGGCCUGCAUUUGAAACUGUAGUUCUUGAGUACUGGAGAGGCAGACGGAAUUCCUGGUGUAGCGGUGAAAUGCGUAGAUAUUAGGAGGAACACCAGUGGCGAAGGCGGUCUGCUGGACUGCAACUGACGCUGAGGCUCGAAAGUGUGGGUAUCAAACAGGAUUAGAUACCCCAGUAGUC
This 443-nucleotide ribosomal RNA is filed under the name uncultured bacterium. RNAcentral's name for it is "partial 16S ribosomal RNA". It matches the Rfam family "Bacterial small subunit ribosomal RNA", at positions 338 to 795 of the family's 1533-position model. The record is from RNAcentral.